GAGUUUGAUCAUGGCUCAGGACGAACGCUGGCGGCGUGCCUAAUACAUGCAAGUCGAGCGAGCGGAACUAACAGAUUUACUUCGGUAAUGACGUUAGGAAAGCGAGCGGCGGAUGGGUGAGUAACACGUGGGGAACCUGCCCCAUAGUCUGGGAUACCACUUGGAAACAGGUGCUAAUACCGGAUAAGAAAGCAGAUCGCAUGAUCAGCUUUUAAAAGGCGGCGUAAGCUGUCGCUAUGGGAUGGCCCCGCGGUGCAUUAGCUAGUUGGUAAGGUAAAGGCUUACCAAGGCGAUGAUGCAUAGCCGAGUUGAGAGACUGAUCGGCCACAUUGGGACUGAGACACGGCCCAAACUCCUACGGGAGGCAGCAGUAGGGAAUCUUCCACAAUGGACGCAAGUCUGAUGGAGCAACGCCGCGUGAGUGAAGAAGGUUUUCGGAUCGUAAAGCUCUGUUGUUGGUGAAGAAGGAUAGAGGUAGUAACUGGCCUUUAUUUGACGGUAAUCAACCAGAAAGUCACGGCUAACUACGUGCCAGCAGCCGCGGUAAUACGUAGGUGGCAAGCGUUGUCCGGAUUUAUUGGGCGUAAAGCGAGCGCAGGCGGAAGAAUAAGUCUGAUGUGAAAGCCCUCGGCUUAACCGAGGAACUGCAUCGGAAACUGUUUUUCUUGAGUGCAGAAGAGGAGAGUGGAACUCCAUGUGUAGCGGUGGAAUGCGUAGAUAUAUGGAAGAACACCAGUGGCGAAGGCGGCUCUCUGGUCUGCAACUGACGCUGAGGCUCGAAAGCAUGGGUAGCGAACAGGAUUAGAUACCCUGGUAGUCCAUGCCGUAAACGAUGAGUGCUAAGUGUUGGGAGGUUUCCGCCUCUCAGUGCUGCAGCUAACGCAUUAAGCACUCCGCCUGGGGAGUACGACCGCAAGGUUGAAACUCAAAGGAAUUGACGGGGGCCCGCACAAGCGGUGGAGCAUGUGGUUUAAUUCGAAGCAACGCGAAGAACCUUACCAGGUCUUGACAUCUAGUGCCAUUUGUAGAGAUACAAAGUUCCCUUCGGGGACGCUAAGACAGGUGGUGCAUGGCUGUCGUCAGCUCGUGUCGUGAGAUGUUGGGUUAAGUCCCGCAACGAGCGCAACCCUUGUUAUUAGUUGCCAGCAUUAAGUUGGGCACUCUAAUGAGACUGCCGGUGACAAACCGGAGGAAGGUGGGGAUGACGUCAAGUCAUCAUGCCCCUUAUGACCUGGGCUACACACGUGCUACAAUGGGCAGUACAACGAGAAGCGAGCCUGCGAAGGCAAGCGAAUCUCUGAAAGCUGUUCUCAGUUCGGACUGCAGUCUGCAACUCGACUGCACGAAGCUGGAAUCGCUAGUAAUCGCGGAUCAGCACGCCGCGGUGAAUACGUUCCCGGGCCUUGUACACACCGCCCGUCACACCAUGGGAGUCUGCAAUGCCCAAAGCCGGUGGCCUAACCUUCGGGAAGGAGCCGUCUAAGGCAGGGCAGAUGACUGGGGUGAAGUCGUAACAAGGUAGCCGUAGGAGAACCUGCGGCUGGAUCACCUCCUU
RNAcentral lists this ribosomal RNA (1555 nucleotides) under Lactobacillus crispatus. RNAcentral describes it as "16S ribosomal RNA". It matches the Rfam family "Bacterial small subunit ribosomal RNA". Lineage: Bacteria; Bacillati; Bacillota; Bacilli; Lactobacillales; Lactobacillaceae. The record is from RNAcentral.